This is a non-coding RNA of Myotis brandtii (Brandt's bat), 75 nucleotides long. The record is from Rfam. Lineage: Eukaryota; Metazoa; Chordata; Mammalia; Chiroptera; Vespertilionidae.
UGGAUCAAUGAUGAUACCUGCCGGCGUUAUGAGUCACCAUGACAAAUAAUGCAUGUCUGAGACGCUGAGGUCCAC